RNAcentral lists this ribosomal RNA (503 nucleotides) under uncultured bacterium. Its description in RNAcentral is "partial 16S ribosomal RNA". It matches the Rfam family "Bacterial small subunit ribosomal RNA", at positions 28 to 523 of the family's 1533-position model. The record is from RNAcentral.
GAUGAACGCUGGCGGCAGGCUUAACACAUGCAAGUCGAGCGGGGUGAUGGUGCUUGCACUAUCACUUAGCGGCGGACGGGUGAGUAAUGCUUAGGAAUCUGCCUAUUAGUGGGGGACAACAUCUCGAAAGGGAUGCUAAUACCGCAUACGUCCUACGGGAGAAAGCAGGGGAUCACUUGUGACCUUGCGCUAAUAGAUGAGCCUAAGUCGGAUUAGCUAGUUGGUGGGGUAAAGGCCUACCAAGGCGACGAUCUGUAGCGGGUCUGAGAGGAUGAUCCGCCAAACUUGGGCUGAAACACGGCCCAGACUUCGAACGGAGGCAGCAGUGGGGAAGAUUGGACAAUGGGGGGAACCCUGAUCCAGCCAUGCCGCGUGUGUGAAGAAGGCCUUAUGGUUGUAAAGCACUUUAAGCGAGGAGGAGGCUCUUUUGGUUAAUACCCAAGAUGAGUGGACGUUACUCGCAGAAUAAGCACCGGCUAACUCUGUGCCAGCAGCCGCGGUAA